UGGCAAUGGCACCCCCUUCCCGGCCCCUACAUACUACAGAGUGAAUUUUCCAUUAAGAGCAAAUUGGCAUGAAAUGAUAUGUUGCAUAUGCUUCCAUCAGACUGACAACAUAUUAAACUUUGAAAAUUUUCAUGUAGCCUUAGGCAGCCUCUGUUGUAGCAGAGUGUGAGCAAAGGAGCCAUGAUAUACCAAGUUCCCCC
This 200-nucleotide long non-coding RNA is filed under the name Gossypium barbadense (sea-island cotton). RNAcentral describes it as "long non-coding RNA (GBAR_LNC008426)". The record is from RNAcentral. Lineage: Eukaryota; Viridiplantae; Streptophyta; Magnoliopsida; Malvales; Malvaceae.